Long non-coding RNA from Tripterygium wilfordii, 1950 nucleotides. RefSeq lists it as uncharacterized. Lineage: Eukaryota; Viridiplantae; Streptophyta; Magnoliopsida; Celastrales; Celastraceae. The transcript is spliced from 2 exons. The record is from RefSeq and is a predicted model, not a curated record.
UGAAUUGGAAUAUUAGGUGUGAAGUAAUUGAUUGCGUUAAUUUCUUUUCUCCACUCUUUAUUAGCCUCCCAUCCCCACGCGAACACGCAGUCUUCUCACGCGCACCACCGGCCACCACCAGAACUCCAUCCUCCGGCCACCGUUUCGAAUGGCCAACCUACCAAGAAGCUUCUCCCAACCCCCACAAGCAUAGCCCGACCAACCUUGCCUCAAACCGUCGCCCAUAGCCAGUGGAAUCGAACUUGGAAACGCACGGCCACCACGAGGUAAAAGUGGUCAAUCCGGCCAACUCCGACAAUCUUUCAACUUUUCGUCACCACCAUUCACCUCACCGGACUGAGGAGCAUCUAACCCAACCAACUUCCAGCCAAAACAACCACCGAAUGCCGGAGAUCUGACUUUGACUCGAUUUUGACUCGGCUGAAAUUCCACUUUCUAGCGACCCCGAAGCUCUAUUCUAACUUGUUUCGUUGCUUUGAACUCAUUGGUGAUGUUUUCGGAUCCAUACAGACAGCGUUGGAGCAUCCCGGAAAUUAUGUCGUAAAUACACAUAUACACACUAUAUACGUGCAGUUAUAAUACUGAACCAGGGGUAAUUUGGUCAUUUAUAAAAGGAUAAAAUGGUGAUUGAGGAGUUGGACUUGAUGCUGUAGACGGUUAAUUAUUUUGUGCACCGCUAUUGAGGUAUGGAUUUCUUACCCUUUUUAUUUUGAAACACUUUCGAGCCACCGUAUUAGAAUGGUGAACUUUGGUUUCCGUCUUGAUUUAUUCCGAGGGGAAACAAGUCUUGAUAGUUUACCAUUAUUUCUUCUACUAUUAUUGUUCAUGUUGUGAUUCUAUUGUACAAAUGAAUGACCCUUGGAAAGCUUGGUAAAAAAACCGAGCUUUGUAUGACUCUUCAUGCAUCUGGAUGAGUGUGUAUGUAUGUAUAUUUAUUGCACUUAUGACAUGUUUCUUUUAAAGAUUGCAUAAUAGAUGCAUGGUAGGUUCCAAGUAUGGACUUGGGGCUUAUGUUAAGUGUUGGAUGUUAUUUGAGCACGUGCGUGGAUGAUGGAUAGGAGUCUUGUGGUUGUGCUAGUCCAUAGGAUUCCCGUAACGGUAUUUAUUACUACACGUUGACUAGUUAUCCGACGAUAGGCCAGGCGUGGCAAGCUGAGAUAUCUUUGUGGGGCCAAUAGUGACUGGUUGCGACCAUAUACGUGCCGACCUUCUCUCUAGUGGUUUAAGAUUGACGUUGAUGGAUGAUUGGAAUUCGUUUCUUGGUAUUGGUUGGAUGCUAGAGAGAGAGGUAGCGCGGGUGGAUUCUCGUCGGCUUAUCGUCGCAGGGCGAGAAUCUGAUCCGCCGAAUUGGGUGUCAUUGGAGGCAGAUAUGGAGAUUCGGUUGCGUUGAUCAGGUCCAUUUAUUAUGUUGUAUUGCAUAUUGUUGCAUCGAAUACACGUUAUUAUUCUCUCAGCCUUUAUUUAUACUCUUUAUAUCCCUACUAGGCAUUCGGCUCAAACCCUCUAUAUUUCUAUCAUUUUAGGUAAGUUUAUUUAAUUUAAAUGGGUCCUUCGGAUUAGCAGGAGUGAGUGUGACCGUGAUGGCUUGGACUAUUGACUCACCUGUAUUUUGGACAUUGUUUAUAUCAUGUUUAAAUUGAUUUUAUGAUUUAUGCAAUGUAAGUUUGUACUCCUAGGUUUCAGUUUGAGGAUCAAAAGGGUGCCCCAGAUGGUUGGGACUUCUGUGUUGGAUUGCAUGGAGAUGGUUGUAGGCUUAAGGGUUUUGGUUUGGGUUCUGUCUAGAUAUUGUAUUAUGUUGGGAUUUUCUUUUGGUUAUUUACAGGGAGACAUUCCUCAAUUUAUGGGGAGAUGAUGUCCAAUUUUCUCCUUUACUAUCGUUGUGUUUGUGUAUAUUAUGUUAUUCAUUUUUUCCCUCAUGCUCCGAGGGUCGGGCCGUGACAAAAUUACUAA